UACGUAGGGGGCAAGCGUUGUCCGGAAUCAUUGGGCGUAAAGCGCGCGUAGGCGGCCCCGUAAGUCCGCUGUGAAAGUCAAAGGCUCAACCUUUGAAAGCCGGUGGAUACUGUGGGGCUAGAGUACGGAAGAGGCGAGUGGAAUUCCUGGUGUAGCGGUGGAAUGCGCAGAUAUCAGGAGGAACACCAAUAGCGAAGGCAGCUCGCUGGGACGUCACUGACGCUGAGGCGCGAAAGCGUGGGGAGCGAACAGG
Molecule: ribosomal RNA, 253 nt
Filed under: uncultured bacterium
Lineage: Bacteria
Description: partial 16S ribosomal RNA
Rfam family: Bacterial small subunit ribosomal RNA
Source: RNAcentral